Gallus gallus (chicken) is the source of this 1076-nucleotide long non-coding RNA. Lineage: Eukaryota; Metazoa; Chordata; Aves; Galliformes; Phasianidae. The record is from Ensembl.
GGACAGCGCAGCUCUGUGCCCUUCAGUGCAACCGGUGGCACUUUGUUUUUCACAGAUCCUUGGAGGUACUGCAAACCACACAGGUGUUACUCUGCUUUUUGUUUCUUUUGUUCUUCAAGCAGUAGGAAGGUCCUUCAAAGAGACUCAAUCUCCUUCAAUUAGAUUCAAGGCUAUUUUUUCAGUGAUUGUUAUACUCUCAAGAGAAAACUUCAAAAUGACUUCUACCUGGGCUUUAAGUACUGGCAAGGAUUGCAGAAAGAAUGGAGAAAGCUUUAUGAUGCUCAAGAAUUGCACCUAUGUUCAACAAAAACUCUUCAUGCAAUCCCAUCUGAAAUAUCUUCAUGGCCUGUAUCGUGUAUUUUGCACAACAAACAAACAACAUGCAGAAGCAAUUUCAAAUGUUAAUGUAAGACUUCAAUUGUUGGAGACAUUAGAUGUGAUUUUGGAUUCACUCUCAUUUAUUUUACGCAAAGUGUCACAUGGAGAAUUCUUGAAUUAGCUCAGUGCAUUUCAGUCCUAUCAGUUUGUUGUACUCUCCAAAGUUCAGUUAUGAUCUUCAGUAUCAGGGAGAAAUAUCAGUAAACAGAAGCAAGAGACUUUUUCCAUUAUUUUGGGACUGUGAAGAGAAAUGAAUGACAUAUUCAUCCAGGAUCUGUGUAGGAAGUGGAGGACAUCCUUGCCGCAUGCCAGCUCCUCUGUGCAAGAAAAGAGAAUUCCACAAGCAAAACUCAAAAAGUGUAGCUACACAAGGAAAAAUGAAGAAUCCAAGUAGCCAGAUGAAUGCAUGUGCAAUUUUUGAUGACCCUUCUCUCACCAUGGCGAUGAGGCCUGGAAAGCAAAAGGUGCGGAGGUCUUCCGACCAGUGAGGGGUGCUAAGCCAGUAUGACCUCUGCUAGCAAAAUGAUGUCUCACUCCCAUUCUCAGAUUGAUAGAGUCGGCAAAGAAGGAAUAAUGCUGGGCAGCUUUGAAAAAGGUAACUAUUUAUCGUGACUGCUUAUUUCAGUAUUUUCUGAUGUGGAAGCAAAAACAUAUCAGAACCAAUUUCCUUGCCUUCUGUCAGUCUGCCUCACUUCUUC